Molecule: ribosomal RNA, 494 nt
Filed under: uncultured bacterium
Lineage: Bacteria
Description: partial 16S ribosomal RNA
Rfam family: Bacterial small subunit ribosomal RNA
Source: RNAcentral
GACGAACGCUGGCGGCGUGCUUAACACAUGCAAGUCGAACGGUGAAGCGCUUUCUUUUUUGGUGGGUGUGGAUGAGAGGCGAACGGGUGAGUAACACGUGAGUAACCUGCCCCUUUCUUCUGGUUCACCGCAUGAAAGCGUGGCUAAUACGGGAUAUCCUGGGUCUGUCGCAUGAUGGGUCUGGGUAAGCUAUUGUUUCGGUGGGGGCUGCGCUUGCGGCCUUUCAGCUUGUUGGUGGGGAUAUGGCCUAUCAAGGCGGUUCCGGUUAGCCGGCCUUCGAGGGUGGACGGUCAGACUGGGACUGAGGCACGGCUGAGACUGCUACAGGGGCCAGCAGUGUGGGAUAUUGCACAGUGGGCACAAGCCUGAUGCAGCGGCGACGCGUGUGGGGUGAAGGCCUGCGGGGUGUGAACCUCUUUCGGCAGUGAAGCGGGCCUGCCUCGUUUGAGGGGGGAGUGACGGUAGCUGGAAAAGAAGCGCCGGCUAACUACGUG